AGCCUUGUAGUAACUUACGUUAGGUUGCAAACCUAAAGAUGCUGAUAAUAUCGGCCGGGGCUU
RNAcentral lists this transfer RNA (63 nucleotides) under Notholebias minimus. Its description in RNAcentral is "Leptolebias minimus tRNA-Cys". Lineage: Eukaryota; Metazoa; Chordata; Actinopteri; Cyprinodontiformes; Rivulidae. The record is from RNAcentral.